This 70-nucleotide transfer RNA is filed under the name Dipodomys ordii (Ord's kangaroo rat). It matches the Rfam family "tRNA". Rfam says of the family: Transfer RNA (tRNA) molecules are approximately 80 nucleotides in length. Their secondary structure includes four short double-helical elements and three loops (D, anti-codon, and T loops). The record is from Rfam by way of RNAcentral. Lineage: Eukaryota; Metazoa; Chordata; Mammalia; Rodentia; Heteromyidae.
GGGAAUGUGGCUUAGUGGUAGAGUGCUUGCUUAACAUGCAUGAAGCCCUGGGUUCAAUUCCUCAGUACCA